UGUCAAAAGAUUACAUUGUAGCCAUUUC
Molecule: small RNA, 28 nt
Filed under: Bombyx mori (domestic silkworm)
Lineage: Eukaryota; Metazoa; Arthropoda; Insecta; Lepidoptera; Bombycidae
Description: ovarian small RNA-35552
Source: RNAcentral